Molecule: transfer RNA, 72 nt
Filed under: Cladosporium sphaerospermum UM 843
Lineage: Eukaryota; Fungi; Ascomycota; Dothideomycetes; Cladosporiales; Cladosporiaceae
Description: tRNA-Arg (TCG) (tRNA-Arg-TCG-1-1)
Rfam family: tRNA
About the family: Transfer RNA (tRNA) molecules are approximately 80 nucleotides in length. Their secondary structure includes four short double-helical elements and three loops (D, anti-codon, and T loops). Further hydrogen bonds mediate the characteristic L-shaped molecular structure. tRNAs have two regions of fundamental functional importance: the anti-codon, which is responsible for specific mRNA codon recognition, and the 3' end, to which the tRNAs corresponding amino acid is attached (by aminoacyl-tRNA synthetases). tRNAs cope with the degeneracy of the genetic code in two manners: having more than one tRNA (with a specific anti-codon) for a particular amino acid; and 'wobble' base-pairing, i.e. permitting non-standard base-pairing at the 3rd anti-codon position.
Source: RNAcentral
GGGUGCUUGGCGCAAUGGUAGCGCGUCAGUUUUCGGCACUGAAGGCUGUGGGUUCGAGUCCCAUGGUGCUCG